Molecule: ribosomal RNA, 253 nt
Filed under: uncultured bacterium
Lineage: Bacteria
Description: partial 16S ribosomal RNA
Rfam family: Bacterial small subunit ribosomal RNA
Source: RNAcentral
UACGUAGGGGGCAAGCGUUAUCCGGAUUUACUGGGUGUAAAGGGAGCGUAGACGGAAAGGCAAGUCAGAAGUGAAAGCCCAAGGCUCAACCAUGGGACUGCUUUUGAAACUGUCAAACUAGAGUACGGGAGAGGUAAGAGGAAUUCCUAGUGUAGCGGUGAAAUGCGUAGAUAUUAGGAGGAACACCAGUGGCGAAGGCGUCUUACUGGACCGAAACUGACGUUGAGGCUCGAAAGCGUGGGGAGCGAACAGG